Molecule: ribosomal RNA, 357 nt
Filed under: uncultured bacterium
Lineage: Bacteria
Description: bacterial SSU rRNA
Rfam family: Bacterial small subunit ribosomal RNA
Source: RNAcentral
AUGGGGACAACAUUCCGAAAGGAGUGCUAAUAACCGCAUAACAUAUUUGAAGGGCAUCCUUUGGAUAUCAAAGCUUUAUGUGCUGGAAGAUGGUCUCGCGUCUGAUUAGCUAGAUGGCGGGGUAACGGGCCCACCAUGGCGACGAUCAGUAGCCGGUCUGAGAGGAUGAACGGCCACAUUGGGACUGAGAUACGGCCCAGACUCCUACGGGAGGCAGCAGUGGGGAAUAUUGGGCAAUGGGCGCAAGCCUGACCCAGCAAUGCCGCGUGAAGGAAGACGGUUUCGGAUUGUAAACUUCUUUUACCAGGGACGAAGGACGUGACGGUACCUGGAGAAAAAGCAACGGCUAACUACGUG